This 1328-nucleotide ribosomal RNA is filed under the name Klebsiella pneumoniae BIDMC 4. Its description in RNAcentral is "bacterial SSU rRNA". It matches the Rfam family "Bacterial small subunit ribosomal RNA", at positions 8 to 1328 of the family's 1533-position model. Lineage: Bacteria; Pseudomonadati; Pseudomonadota; Gammaproteobacteria; Enterobacterales; Enterobacteriaceae. The record is from RNAcentral.
AGAGUUUGAUCAUGGCUCAGAUUGAACGCUGGCGGCAGGCCUAACACAUGCAAGUCGAGCGGUAGCACAGAGAGCUUGCUCUCGGGUGACGAGCGGCGGACGGGUGAGUAAUGUCUGGGAAACUGCCUGAUGGAGGGGGAUAACUACUGGAAACGGUAGCUAAUACCGCAUAACGUCGCAAGACCAAAGUGGGGGACCUUCGGGCCUCAUGCCAUCAGAUGUGCCCAGAUGGGAUUAGCUAGUAGGUGGGGUAACGGCUCACCUAGGCGACGAUCCCUAGCUGGUCUGAGAGGAUGACCAGCCACACUGGAACUGAGACACGGUCCAGACUCCUACGGGAGGCAGCAGUGGGGAAUAUUGCACAAUGGGCGCAAGCCUGAUGCAGCCAUGCCGCGUGUGUGAAGAAGGCCUUCGGGUUGUAAAGCACUUUCAGCGGGGAGGAAGGCGAUAAGGUUAAUAACCUUGUCGAUUGACGUUACCCGCAGAAGAAGCACCGGCUAACUCCGUGCCAGCAGCCGCGGUAAUACGGAGGGUGCAAGCGUUAAUCGGAAUUACUGGGCGUAAAGCGCACGCAGGCGGUCUGUCAAGUCGGAUGUGAAAUCCCCGGGCUCAACCUGGGAACUGCAUUCGAAACUGGCAGGCUAGAGUCUUGUAGAGGGGGGUAGAAUUCCAGGUGUAGCGGUGAAAUGCGUAGAGAUCUGGAGGAAUACCGGUGGCGAAGGCGGCCCCCUGGACAAAGACUGACGCUCAGGUGCGAAAGCGUGGGGAGCAAACAGGAUUAGAUACCCUGGUAGUCCACGCCGUAAACGAUGUCGAUUUGGAGGUUGUGCCCUUGAGGCGUGGCUUCCGGAGCUAACGCGUUAAAUCGACCGCCUGGGGAGUACGGCCGCAAGGUUAAAACUCAAAUGAAUUGACGGGGGCCCGCACAAGCGGUGGAGCAUGUGGUUUAAUUCGAUGCAACGCGAAGAACCUUACCUGGUCUUGACAUCCACAGAACUUUCCAGAGAUGGAUUGGUGCCUUCGGGAACUGUGAGACAGGUGCUGCAUGGCUGUCGUCAGCUCGUGUUGUGAAAUGUUGGGUUAAGUCCCGCAACGAGCGCAACCCUUAUCCUUUGUUGCCAGCGGUCCGGCCGGGAACUCAAAGGAGACUGCCAGUGAUAAACUGGAGGAAGGUGGGGAUGACGUCAAGUCAUCAUGGCCCUUACGACCAGGGCUACACACGUGCUACAAUGGCAUAUACAAAGAGAAGCGACCUCGCGAGAGCAAGCGGACCUCAUAAAGUAUGUCGUAGUCCGGAUUGGAGUCUGCAACUCGACUCCAUGAAGUCG